CGGCCCGAACUCCUACGGGAGGCAGCAGUGGGGAAUAUUGGACAAUGGGGGCAACCCUGAUCCAGCCAUGCCGCGUGUGUGAAGAAGGCCCUCGGGUUGUAAAGCACUUUCAGCGAGGAAGAACGCCUAGCGGUUAAUACCCGCUAGGAAAGACAUCACUCGCAGAAGAAGCACCGGCUAACUCCGUGCCAGCAGCCGCGGUAAUACGGAGGGUGCAAGCGUUAAUCGGAAUUACUGGGCGUAAAGCGCGCGUAGGUGGCUUGAUAAGCCGGUUGUGAAAGCCCCGGGCUCAACCUGGGAACGGCAUCCGGAACUGUCAAGCUAGAGUGCAGGAGAGGAAGGUAGAAUUCCCGGUGUAGCGGUGAAAUGCGUAGAGAUCGGGAGGAAUACCAGUGGCGAAGGCGGCCUUCUGGACUGACACUGACACUGAGGUGCGAAAGCGUGGGUAGCAAACAGGAUUAGAUACCCUGGUAGUCCACGCCGUAAACGAUGUCGACCAGCCGUUGGGUGCCUAGCGCACUUUGUGGCGAAGUUAACGCGAUAAGUCGACCGCCUGGGGAGUACGGCCGCAAGGUUAAAACUCAAAUGAAUUGACGGGGGCCCGCACAAGCGGUGGAGCAUGUGGUUUAAUUCGAUGCAACGCGAAGAACCUUACCUACUCUUGACAUCCUGCGAAUUUGGUAGAGAUACCUUAGUGCCUUCGGGAACGCAGAGACAGGUGCUGCAUGGCUGUCGUCAGCUCGUGUUGUGAAAUGUUGGGUUAAGUCCCGUAACGAGCGCAACCCUUGUCCUUAUUUGCCAGCGCGUAAUGGCGGGAACUCUAAGGAGACUGCCGGUGACAAACCGGAGGAAGGUGGGGACGACGUCAAGUCAUCAUGGCCCUUACGAGUAGGGCUACACACGUGCUACAAUGGUCGGUACAAAGGGUUGCCAACUCGCGAGAGUGAGCCAAUCCCGAAAAGCCGAUCUCAGUCCGGAUCGGAGUCUGCAACUCGACUCCGUGAAGUCGGAAUCGCUAGUAAUC
This 1024-nucleotide ribosomal RNA is filed under the name Vreelandella aquamarina. RNAcentral's name for it is "bacterial SSU rRNA". It matches the Rfam family "Bacterial small subunit ribosomal RNA", at positions 327 to 1343 of the family's 1533-position model. The record is from RNAcentral. Lineage: Bacteria; Pseudomonadati; Pseudomonadota; Gammaproteobacteria; Oceanospirillales; Halomonadaceae.